GUCCGCCCCCACCUCCCUCUCACGCACGACCGUGGCUCUUCCGAGGCCUCAUAAUUAUUUCGUCUUCUCCUGUUCUCCUGCGACGCACGCCGCCACGCCGGGGCACCGCCAGAACUCCACACCCGGCGCCCUCCACGCCGGGGCGCGACGCUGGAGCCACGCCAGAGGGUUGCCAGGGGCUUGCGGCCGGGGCGCGUGGCUAGGGGCGCGCGGCCGGGGCGCCCCGACGCUCGACUAGCGCGCUUCUCUCCUCACCCCGACGGACAAACCCCAGGGCGGACAGUGCGGCGCACACGGAGCACGGCGGGCGUGGAGCACGCACCAGCACGGUGGACGCAGACCAUGCAGCGGCGAGGCGGCGCAGCGAACGCGGCUAGGGUUUUGCGGCAGCCGCCACGCUGGUUACGCACUGGGUCUGUGUCUUCCUCGGCGAGCGGGCUCGGCUCCCUCGACAGGUGAGCUCCCCGGCGGUGGAUGAGCUGGGCCCCCUACUUGCUUCCCUCGCCGUACUCCUCUACUGCCUCCAGUCCCUGUGCCAACGGUGGUCUGGGGUCCAGCACCCAGGCCCAGCACAUCGGUGCUGCCUCGACUAUCCAAUAGAGAUUCAAAGAUCCCUGCAGGUAGGAUGCGCCUAGCAGUUCCAGGUUCUGGCUGCGUUGAUUUUUUAAGGAGUGGUAUAGAUCAUUUGCAUUUCCUUCAUGACUAUUUUCAUUUAUGUUAAGAGGCUAUGCAGUAAGAAAGGCAUCCUUGGAAUCACUUGUUCCACUUUCUUGAGAUCACUCUUCUACAUAGGUUGGCUUGUGAAUCAUUCCUGAUUUAUAAUAACACAUGGUCUGAACUUAAUUUGUUGUUAUACAUGCAGUUGUUUUCCACAAGUCAUUGCGACUUACUAAUGGUAGUCGUAGGAAGCUUGCUUCUAGAAGGAUUACCAAUUUAAUUUCAACUAAUGUGGAGUCCCUUCAGGUAUACUGUUGGAGGAUGAUGGCAAGCUGUUGACCCAAGCAUUUAUCAUUUUCACUUUUUCCUUUUAACUUUGCACAAGAAGGAAAUGUUUUAUGUAGAAUAUUACAGCUUGCAUGUUUUGUAUUUGCAUUCCUAUAACUUUAGGAGAUUUAAUAUUCUUCCAAAUUGGAAGACCUUCAAUGUUUAGAGUUCAGAAGACUAUGUGUAGAAAAUUACAGCUUGCAUGCAUUUGCUUUAACCUUAAAAAUGAUUUAGGUUGCAACAACCCACAAAGAGUAUAUCUUAUCACUUAUAAAUUGAUAUUGAUAUUAUCGGUACCAUACACAGUUAUGUCUCCAUGUUGGACUUUUCCAUACUCUGACAUAACCUUCUUUAAGUGAUCCUUUAUAAGUUUGUUUUCUCCUAACAAUAUGAGAACAAGACAAGAUAAGUAGAUGUUCAUAUAUUUCAUAACGAAAAGAGCUUACAUAAAUCAAGUGUCAAUGCUUAGUCUAUAAUGGUCUUUCUUCCUAAAGCAGAAAAAGAAAAAAUGUUUGCUAUUGCAACCAGGAUUGUUCAGUUUUCUUCUUGAACUGGUAUGCUAAAAAUAAAUCUGAUAUGUGACUAGGGAUUCAUCAAUGUUACUGUCAUAUGAGUCAUUAUGUUCUGAUUGCAAGUGGAAAAAAUACCCACAGAAAUCAAAUAUGAAUUUUAAUGCAAGGGUUCUGCUAUUCAGUCCAACAAUAUCUGCUAAAUCAGUAGGCAAUAUUGAUAAGUAUAGAUUGAGCAUUAUAUUACAUGCAGUUAGCAUCGAGAUAAUUACUUUAUUGAGUUGUCAAUAAAAAACAUGUAUUUCUCCAUUCUUGAUUAUGCUGGUAAUACACUGACCGGGACUUAUGAAUCUGUAGCAGCACUUAAAAUCAUUUGCUUUGUCUUACAUACUUAUUUCAUUUGGCUGGGACUUCAGGCAAGCCUGUGGGCUAUUGGCAACGCCUUCUGGUAUGUGCUCCCUUUUGUCAAUAAUAAUGCAACUAUUUUUGGCUAUCUCGGAAAUUAAAUCGUGUUGUGUUUUUGAAUGGGCAUCUUAUUGUUUUGAAGUACUGGAUGAAGAAGAAACUAUUUAGCGCUUUUUCUCACCAUUCCAACAGUAUUUACUCAUAUUAAUGAAGGCUUAAAGCUUUUGAUAUUUUGGAGUGGUUAAGGAUGGACCAAAGGAAGGUUUUGCUAGCUAGGGAGUUAUGCGAUGACAUCAAAAGAAACACAAACCAAUUAUUUUUUCACAUUGUAUACUGAUUAAUUAUUUUGAUCUUGUUCUCUUUAUUAAUUCCCAAGAACUGAUAUAUGCAGUUAACUUAUGUACUACUAUGCUGUGGCUAUUUUCUCUUUUUUUUCAUAAGGUACCAUUGCAAAUAAGUUAGGCAAAGUAUUCAGUAGGAGCUGCAACUGUAUCUGGCUGCAAAUGGAUCAUAGCUUGUAUGCAUAGAUAUUUAUUUUUCUCUAGGCUGAUAACAUAGCUUGUAUGAGAUCAUUUCUCUAAUACUACUAACAGUUUUUGUUUUGGUUCUGAAAUAUUUUCUGUACUUAACUGAAUUAUGACUUUAUUUUUUGAUAUCCAUAGCUUGUAAGAGAUCAUUUCUCUAAUACUACUAACAGUUUUUGUUUUGGUUCUGAAAUAUUUUCUGUAGUUAACUGAAUUAUGACUUUAUUUUCUGAUAUCCAUUCAGGUGGACAGGUGGAAACAGUCAUGAGAAUACGGGAUCAUGCACAUUUUUUUGUUAAAAAUAUUUGUAGCACAAUUUAGUAUUUUAUUUAAGAAAAUGUUGCAUUUUCAUGUAAAUUUAAAGUGUCGAUUGGAAAUAUGAAAUGAUUUAAAGUGUCAAGGCUGAGUUGGGUUCA
Molecule: RNA transcript, 2838 nt
Organism: Sorghum bicolor (sorghum)
Lineage: Eukaryota; Viridiplantae; Streptophyta; Magnoliopsida; Poales; Poaceae
Exons: 3
Source: RefSeq, a predicted model, not a curated record